UCAAAGGAAUUGACGGGGACCCGCACAAGCGGUGGAUGAUGUGGAUUAAUUCGAUGCAACGCGAAAAACCUUACCUACCCUUGACAUGGAUGGAACCUCUGAGAGAUUGGAGGGUGCCCGAAAGGGAGCCAUUACACAGGUGCUGCAUGGCUGUCGUCAGCUCGUGUCGUGAGAUGUUGGGUUAAGUCCCGCAACGAGCGCAACCCUUGUCAUUAGUUGCUACGCAAGAGCACUCUAAUGAGACUGCCGGUGACA
Molecule: ribosomal RNA, 255 nt
Filed under: Duganella lactea
Lineage: Bacteria; Pseudomonadati; Pseudomonadota; Betaproteobacteria; Burkholderiales; Oxalobacteraceae
Description: partial 16S ribosomal RNA
Rfam family: Bacterial small subunit ribosomal RNA
Source: RNAcentral